GAUUGUAGGUGGCUUUUUAAGUCCGCCGUCAAAUUCCAGGGCUCAACCUUAGAUAGGCGGUGGAAAUUAUCAAGUUGGAGUACGGUAGGGGCAGAGGGAAUUUUCGGUGGAGCAGUGAAAUGCAUAGUGAUCGAAAAGAACACCAACGGUAAAAGCACUCUAUUGGGUCGACACUGACAUUGAAAAAC
This is a non-coding RNA of Nicotiana sylvestris (wood tobacco), 188 nucleotides long. Lineage: Eukaryota; Viridiplantae; Streptophyta; Magnoliopsida; Solanales; Solanaceae. The record is from Rfam.